This 73-nucleotide transfer RNA is filed under the name Camelus dromedarius (Arabian camel). It matches the Rfam family "tRNA". Rfam says of the family: Transfer RNA (tRNA) molecules are approximately 80 nucleotides in length. Lineage: Eukaryota; Metazoa; Chordata; Mammalia; Artiodactyla; Camelidae. RNAcentral also lists the same sequence under 1 other name. The record is from Rfam by way of RNAcentral.
GAGGGUAUAGCUCAAGUGGUGGAGCACAUGCUUAGCAUGCACGAGGUCCUAGGUUCAAUCCUCAGUAUCUCCU